UGAAGCUUAUUUUGAUGGCCGUUCCAUAUGACACGUUCUAACUUGUACCAAUCUGAUCCUUAUGCAUUUGUAGGAGUUGGUAUUACAGUUAUGUAAAGAGCCCUGAAAAUAGAAAAGCACCAAUUAAACUAGAAAUAAGAAAAUGAAGAGGGCAAUGAAAUAAAUUGUCUCUUCAUUAGUUUGACAGAUGCAUCGGUGAAACUGUAGGACAUGAGUCUGUUGCACAUCUUUGUGAAUGCCAUCUUUACGUUAGGUGGAGUCAAAUUGAUGAGGAAAUCAUGGUGAAGUUGGUGAUUAUAGUUUUGAUCAUCCAGCAGACCAUGUCUGGGGUCUCUCCUGCCUGUGGUCGAGCUGAAUAUCUUACAGGCCAGGAAUGCUGCCCUAUGUGUGGUCCUGGUCAUUAUGUACGGAGACACUGCACUGAGUCCAAAAGUACAACAUGUGUUCCAUGUCCGUCAUCUACCUACACUGAUGCACCCAAUGGACUGCAGUCCUGUAAAUCCUGCACAGUUUGUGACUCGAGUGAAGGUCUAAGAGUGAAGAGGGCGUGCAGCUCCACUUCAGACACACUCUGUGAGCCUCUGGAAGGUCACUACUGUACUGACCCAAUCAAAGAUGGCUGCCGAGGAGCUGUGGAACACACAAAGUGCUCAUCAGGGCAGUACGUCAACCAGACAGGUACAGCAUCCACAAAUACUGUGUGUGGUGACUGUGUAGGCGACUCAUACUCAGAUGGAUCAUUCACAUCCUGCAGACCACACACACGGUGUGAGUUGAUUGGGCUUGUUGUCCUAAGAGAAGGAUCAUCUUCUUAUGACACUGAUUGUGGUCAAAGACAAAGACAAAACACUGUUGCCAUUGUAGCUGGUGUUGCAGUCCUAGCUGCUACAUGUGGGGCUGUUGUAUUUAUAUAUCAUAGAAGGAAGAGAGAAAAUAAAAGCUUAACAAGAAGGGUGUGAUGAGACUGGUCUGAAUGGCUCAUGGCCAUAUUAAUAAUGGUGACGGUGCUUAUAGAACAGACUGAACCAGACAGGACUGCCAAAUGACCUGUUCUCCUUCUGGACCAACUGACCACAGUGCCACCUCUCUAUUACUGCUGUGCUACACCACCUCACUACUGCAGAGACUGCUGCCCUGAGAUGCCAGAGUGGGGACCUGCAUACCAUGAUAAGAACACCACUUGCUGGAUGAGGAUGUUAUAACUCGAUCAUGUCUUAUCAAAACACAUAUUGUUUGUGGUAUUUCAGCACCUGACUUUCCUCAUGAAGAAGAUUAUGCUCUUUCUGAAGGAGCCACACUGGACUACUGGAGGAUGGGGAGGCCAGGACACACAAGACUUUGCCGUCCCAAGUCCAUGUUCCUGAGUUUUGGGAAGAAAAGCAAGGAAGAAUCAGACCUUUUGGUGGUCCAGGAAAAUCAGUCCCUGCUGUCUUUUUUUAAAGGCUGCAAUUCAGUUUCGGUUUUACGAAAGGAUGUUAUUUGAACUGUUACACAAGACUUUUCAGUAAAGCAAGUGUUAUGUAUGGACAUGUACAAAGAAGGAAGAAGGAAAUGGACAAAAACACAAACAAACAGCGGAAUGAAUGGAGAGAAACCCUGAUCAUUUAUCAAUCUAUUUUCCUCAAGGCCACACUGUGAACAUCAGUAAUUAUUAUCACGCUCUAUCUGGGGACCCGUUCCUUACAUCUUUACUCUGAAAGUAUCUGCAGCACUUCAGCACUUUGUAUUUUUAGCACUUUAUUGUUGAACAAUUAGCUCUUGACAGAUGAGAAUUCAUCAAAUAAACGACUAAACAAACUGGAUGUUUAAGGGGAAGAUGGUAAAAGGAUCUUGAGUAUUCUGUAGCCAGAGACUCCUGCACUCCAUGUGUGUAGCCAUCAUCCUCUGAGCAGCCAGGUAUGUUCAUACCCUCUGAAUGAUUGAAUGUUUCCUGUGAGGAAAUGGACCAGCGAGUCAAAACUGGAGCUACAGGCCUGCUUUGACUGCACUGACUGGAGUGUUUUUGAGGCUGCAUCUACAUCCCUAGAUGAACUCACUGACACUGUGACAUCCUACAUCAGUUUUUGUGAAAGCAUGUGUGUACCCACCAAAACGUUCUGCACCUUUAACAACAAUAAACCGUGGUUCACGGCAAAGCUCAGGCAGCUUCGUCAAGCCAAGGAGGAGGCCUACAGGAGUGGGGACAGGAUACUAUACAACAAGGCCAGAAAAGAGUAGCAAAGAGAAG
Molecule: long non-coding RNA, 2227 nt
Organism: Clupea harengus (Atlantic herring)
Lineage: Eukaryota; Metazoa; Chordata; Actinopteri; Clupeiformes; Clupeidae
Exons: 7
Source: RefSeq, a predicted model, not a curated record